Molecule: transfer RNA, 82 nt
Filed under: Dreissena polymorpha
Lineage: Eukaryota; Metazoa; Mollusca; Bivalvia; Myida; Dreissenidae
Description: tRNA-Ser
Source: RNAcentral
UUCGUGUUGACCGAGUGGUUAAGGCGUUUAACUCGAAAUCAAAUGGACUCUGCCCACAGUGUUUCGAAUCCUGUCCACGACA